Molecule: ribosomal RNA, 302 nt
Filed under: Pelobates cultripes (western spadefoot toad)
Lineage: Eukaryota; Metazoa; Chordata; Amphibia; Anura; Pelobatidae
Description: SSU_rRNA_microsporidia
Rfam family: Eukaryotic small subunit ribosomal RNA
Source: RNAcentral
CAUAUUGGGACAUAUAAAAAAGACAACUCUGUUCCAAAGAGUAGCUGUUGACAUUAUAGUUGCGCAGGAACUUUGUUGACUCUAGAGAACCUCGGGCAAAUCACACAUCCCCGUGGUGGCGACUUUGCAUGCGGAUGUCAUCCAUAUCAACUUUCAAUGCCAGUUUCUGCGCCUACCAUGGUGACCACAGGUAACGGGGAAUCAGGGUUCCAUUCCAUACAGGGACCCUGAGAAAUGGCUACCACAUGCAAGGAAGGCAGCAGACGUGCAAAUGACCCACUUCCAACGCGGGAAGGUAUUGA